This 253-nucleotide ribosomal RNA is filed under the name uncultured bacterium. Its description in RNAcentral is "partial 16S ribosomal RNA". It matches the Rfam family "Bacterial small subunit ribosomal RNA", at positions 524 to 776 of the family's 1533-position model. The record is from RNAcentral.
UACAGAGGGUGCGAGCGUUGUCCGGAAUCACUGGGCGUAAAGGGCGCGUAGGCGGCCUGAUAAGUCGGGGGUGAAAUCCUGUGGCUCAACCACAGGGCUGCCUCCGGGACUGUCGGGCUCGAGCACAGUAGAGGCAGGUGGAAUUCCCGGAGUAGCGGUGGAAUGCGUAGAGAUCGGGAAGAACAUCGGUGGCGAAGGCGGCCUGCUGGGCUGUUGCUGACGCUGAGGCGCGACAGCGUGGGGAGCAAACAGG